Molecule: ribosomal RNA, 666 nt
Filed under: Escherichia coli
Lineage: Bacteria; Pseudomonadati; Pseudomonadota; Gammaproteobacteria; Enterobacterales; Enterobacteriaceae
Also listed under: 7 other names
Description: bacterial SSU rRNA
Rfam family: Bacterial small subunit ribosomal RNA
Source: RNAcentral
UUAAGUCGACCGCCUGGGGAGUACGGCCGCAAGGUUAAAACUCAAAUGAAUUGACGGGGGCCCGCACAAGCGGUGGAGCAUGUGGUUUAAUUCGAUGCAACGCGAAGAACCUUACCUGGUCUUGACAUCCACGGAAGUUUUCAGAGAUGAGAAUGUGCCUUCGGGAACCGUGAGACAGGUGCUGCAUGGCUGUCGUCAGCUCGUGUUGUGAAAUGUUGGGUUAAGUCCCGCAACGAGCGCAACCCUUAUCCUUUGUUGCCAGCGGUCCGGCCGGGAACUCAAAGGAGACUGCCAGUGAUAAACUGGAGGAAGGUGGGGAUGACGUCAAGUCAUCAUGGCCCUUACGACCAGGGCUACACACGUGCUACAAUGGCGCAUACAAAGAGAAGCGACCUCGCGAGAGCAAGCGGACCUCAUAAAGUGCGUCGUAGUCCGGAUUGGAGUCUGCAACUCGACUCCAUGAAGUCGGAAUCGCUAGUAAUCGUGGAUCAGAAUGCCACGGUGAAUACGUUCCCGGGCCUUGUACACACCGCCCGUCACACCAUGGGAGUGGGUUGCAAAAGAAGUAGGUAGCUUAACCUUCGGGAGGGCGCUUACCACUUUGUGAUUCAUGACUGGGGUGAAGUCGUAACAAGGUAACCGUAGGGGAACCUGCGGUUGGAUCAC